CAAAAAAACCAAAAAAAGGUUGA
Molecule: small RNA, 23 nt
Filed under: Arabidopsis thaliana (thale cress)
Lineage: Eukaryota; Viridiplantae; Streptophyta; Magnoliopsida; Brassicales; Brassicaceae
Description: ATSL133520
Source: RNAcentral